Molecule: non-coding RNA, 72 nt
Organism: Podarcis lilfordi (Lilford's wall lizard)
Lineage: Eukaryota; Metazoa; Chordata; Lepidosauria; Squamata; Lacertidae
Source: the annotation of a GenBank genome assembly
AACAACAAGCUCAGUUGGUAGAGCAACAGACUCUAAAUCUCAGGGCGGUGGGUUCAAGCCGCAUGUUGGAUG